Bombus pyrosoma is the source of this 2901-nucleotide long non-coding RNA. RefSeq lists it as uncharacterized. The record is from RefSeq and is a predicted model, not a curated record. Lineage: Eukaryota; Metazoa; Arthropoda; Insecta; Hymenoptera; Apidae. The transcript has 2 exons.
CCUGUAUGCGCAGAUGUCAUUGCACUUCGUCCCACUCUUUAAAAUGAGAUACAACAAAAAAAUGGAUUAAUUAUAAGUGACAUCAUCGAUUAUUGUGCAGAAGUUCCUCCGUAAAUACUGUUUAGCUUAGUUUUCGUACAUUCCAUUUUAUGAUCGAAUACGUACUUGGUCCUCUCCAGCGCCAUCAUGAUAAAUCACAAUGUGCUGUAACAGUUUAUUCAGUUGUCUGUAAUCUUGCAAAGCGUUGCCACGAUUUAGUGCAAAAUCAUUGGGUACACUGUAAUAUCUUCUUGAGUCGCUAUUGCACCGCAGUCACGACAUUGCCGAUAAGAGCUGUGAUUUGGCUGAUCAGCAGCAACUAAACAUUUUAUGGAUCUGAGAGCACCGCUCAAAUUUGCGAAAGAUCUUGAUAGCAUUGUAUCGGUCGCUUCGAAUAAUAUUAUUGGAUACGACGCGGAAGACGAAUUCCAGAUUACAAAAACUUAUUGAGAUUAAUGCUCUACCGAAUUCUCAUACUACAGUUCUUUUCUUAACCGUUUUCUUUGCGGAAGGAGUGAUGAAUAUGUUCGUAACGUAUCCUUUCCGUUUUCAAUGUUUAAGUUUGGAUGUCAGAAACAAAAGCAUAAUAUGCAAUUAUUUUGAGUAAUAACAAUUUUUACGUGCGUAGAGAUAAAUAAGUUCUCCAUUGUACAUUUGAAACAAUAUACAAUAUAUAAAAUGCCUGCAGGUGUAAAAAAUUUAAGGAGUGAUUCUUAAAGCUAAAAUAAGAUGAAAAUCAAGAAUAAAAAAUUGCGUUUUUGGCUUUGUUUUUUAAUUAUUGACAAAGUUAACCGAAAUAUCCAUGAGCAAAUAGAGAAAAUAUCCGUUUACGCGAACGAAAGUAGAUCAGCCUGAGCAGCGGGCUGAACAACGAUCUACCAAUUGAAUGAUAUACGGCCAGUAGCUUGCCUCAACAACUUGCUGUACAAGUUGUAGAGAAGAAGAUUGUGGCAUUUGCAGACGUAAACUAUUCUGCGCAACGUUUGGUAAGAAAAAUCGUAGACUAAACAUUAAACAUGCCUACACAUGAAAAUCCGUAACAACAUAUCAAAAACCGUCUCAUGGAAUUUUCGAGUAGACAGGAGUAAUGUUUUCUCUAAUUCUUUGCCCGCUUAAAUAAUUAAUAAAUAAAAUCAGAUAUAAACAAUGUUUACACAAAUUUCACACAUGUACUGCAAGUAUUAUUCAGGCUCAGAAAAUAGUAAUUGUUUUAUAUUACUGUAAAUAUUCAAUAUAGCAACUAUUUUCUUGCAAGCAAGAUACACAAUACGCACGAUACAUACAACACAUACCGUGCACACUACACACAAUACACACCCAAAUCACUCGCGUUGGAACUAGAUAAAAAAGAUUAAAUAAACAAAAAAGAAUACAGAAAUAAAGGAAAUGAGAAAGUUCAGAGAACUAAAAAUGAAAAGGCUCAAAAAAGAUAUAUAGUAGAAUAACUUAAACCUAUAUCAAAUCAACAAUUAACGGCAAUUUUAUGUUUAUACAAUUCUAAUGUUUCUCUUUGGCUGUCGAGAUAUUUCUGACCUUCCAGAAUUGUUUUACCAUCUUAUCAAAUUUUUAAAAUCGCCAAUACAUAUUACGUAACAAGAUAAUAGUGGAAAGUUCCAAUUCAGAAAAAAAAUUACAAUGUUCUUUGCCAACGCUUUUGUUUUCUUUGUAUAAUUUUCAGUAUAAUGAUCAGUAAUUUGUAUGCAAAUAGGUGUCGACCACAUUUAGUAGCAUUUCAAGAAUACUUGAUGUGCAUGUGAUUUUUUUGUAAAUACUCGCGGACAGGAUGAUUGUGGUGAGUGUAUGAAAUUUGUAUAAACAUUGUUUAUAUGUGCAAUUAUUUAUUAAUAAUUUAUGGAGGCCAACAAUUAGAGAAAAUAUUAAUCCUCUUUAUUCGAAAAUUCCAUAAGGUGGUUUUCGAUAUGCUUUUAUGGAUUUUAAUGAAUGGACAGGUAUAAUACUUAAUCUAUGAUUUUUUUUACAAAACAUGCUGCUUAGGCUGAUCUACUUUUCUACGUGUAAGGAGAUCUGCUCGCGCACGGGGAUAUUUCGGCUAAUUUUUAAUUGUCAAUAACUAAAAAACAAAGCCGAAAAUGCAAUUGUUUUAUUCUUGAUUUUUAUCUUAUUACAUAUCUUUUUACACCUGUAGCCGGACAGUUAUAGAGAGAAGAGAUAGAGAUGCAGAUAGAUAAGAGAUUUUUGUUUUAUUUCGUUCAUUGUUCCCAAAUUAAUUUAUUGUUUAUAUUUUGUUUUUUGUACUCAUUUCUUGUUUGAAGCUAGUUAAGGAAUUAAUAUGAAUCUUGAUGCUAUCAAUCAAAGUUCCUUGAAUUUCUCCAAAGAAUCAAUAAUGAUUAAAUCUAAUAUUGUUAUAAUAUUAAAUUCCAAAAACUUAAUUUUAGAUUUAAAAAAAUAGUAAUAUAUUACUCUUAAAUAAUUAAAGUCAGAUAACAUAAUUAUAUAAUGAAUAAGGAAAUUUAAGUCAUAAUAGUAAAUUAACCUGUUAGUCCACAUACUAACAUAGGUUUCUACUUUACAAAAUUUCACAAAAUUCCUCAAUUUUUAAUUGAUACAAGUAACGGUAUAAUGCAAUUGAGGUGUUCCUUAUGCACAUAUACGUACAAGCUUCGCAGUUUCGCUCAAAUAUAUAUAAACGAUACUGAAAUAUAUCAAACAGCAUUAUAGAACAAAUAGUCGCUCUUAAGCUUUGUUUGCUGCGUUCGGUUUCGCAACUAUGUCUGUUCAUUCUCGUCUCGACAUAUGCUUUAUUUCGUAAAGAAGUAUGCGAAACGUUAUCAUCCUUCAACUUGUUUUAUCUAGACUGUAAACAUAGUGCGCUAGUAUUUCAGUGCUAAACAAACAAAGACC